This is a non-coding RNA of Drosophila willistoni, 136 nucleotides long. NCBI's taxonomy places the organism in Eukaryota, Metazoa, Arthropoda, Insecta, Diptera, Drosophilidae. The record is from RefSeq and is a predicted model, not a curated record.
AUGACAGCAACAAGAAGGUGUUCAAGUCUAAUGAACUUAUUUGAACGCUGAUACAAUCCUGUCAGAUUAAAGAAUAUGCCAAGAUCAGUUCAGUUUAAUGAAGUCUAUAAACUGGUUUACACGUGGCAGGACAUGA